CAAGGAAGGACUUUCUGGAAUCUACUUAUCUGACCAAGAAAGCUUCUUUCCAAAAGAAAUGCAAUUGUCUUGAGACUUCUUCCCUAGGGAUCUGAUCAACUAACCAGAAAAGAGCAACCACCAGAGAAGAGACUGUGGGUGUCAUUGUGACUGGCUGCUACCUCCCCAUGAGUCUUCUAAAAUAAAACCUGCAAAUUCACAUCUUCCCCAUGCUUCCAGAGAAUGCAUAUUCUUCCUUUGAAAAAAGAAAACCAGGUAGUCGUACAGUGUCCAGAAGGCAAAAGGACAAGUAUGCACUGCCCUACUUACCUACUUUCCACACUGCUGCACAGGAAAAUCUGACAGAGGACAAUAACAAACAUCUCACCAGCUCAUGCGUUCUUUUUUGAUCCUAAUUCCGAGAGACUCACCAAAGACAUGAAGAGAAAACAAACAAUACUUUUCUUGGAAAUAUUGUAAUUGCUGGUACAUUUGUUGUUCUGGCAUAAAGUAGAAAUUGUCAGGUAAACAUUGCUUCCUUUUGGAUCAAAAAGAAAUUUAACCAAAUAAAUGCAAGAGGUAUGAGGGAAGAUAAUGGGAAAUAAAUGAGAUUUGAGAAAUCA
RNAcentral lists this long non-coding RNA (602 nucleotides) under Homo sapiens (human). Its description in RNAcentral is "novel transcript". The record is from RNAcentral. Lineage: Eukaryota; Metazoa; Chordata; Mammalia; Primates; Hominidae.